UCCGGGUUGGACCCGGCGGUCCCGCCAGACAUGGUAACUGGCAGCGAGGGUUGCGCUCGUUGCGGGACUUAACCCAACACCUCACGGCACGAGCUGACGACAGCCAUGCAGCACCUGUGCACAGACCCCGAAGGGCGAUAACAUCUCUGCUAUCUUCCUGUGCAUGUCAAGCCUGGGUAAGGUUCUUCGCGUUGCAUCGAAUUAAACCACAUGCUCCACUGCUUGUGCGGGUCCCCGUCAAUUCUUUUGAGUUUCAGCCUUGCGACUGUACUCCCCAGGCGGUAUACUUAUCGCGUUAGCUUCGGCACAGUCAGGGUUGAGUCCGACUACACCAAGUAUACAUCGUUUAGGGCGUGGACUAC
Molecule: unclassified non-coding RNA, 362 nt
Filed under: uncultured bacterium
Lineage: Bacteria
Description: contains 16S-23S intergenic spacer region
Source: RNAcentral